AACCUCAAACUGCCACCUUCUGAAACCCUCUUGUGCUAAAAACUAGAUAUCUCUAAACCACGCCAUUAGAAUAUCACAAAAUUUUGUAUACACUUAGUACACUCAAUAAUCCAAAAAAUAUCAAAUUUUCAACUAUAGAUGUCAUGCCAAUUGCACGAACUAGUCAAAAUUGCUAGCCCUAAUUAUAUUAUAUAAAAUCCAAAUCAUUGAUACAAACCCUGACUUUGAACAACAAUUGCUAAAUCCUCCAAAACCCUCUCAAAACAAUUCUUAUGUCUUUGAA
Molecule: long non-coding RNA, 283 nt
Filed under: Physcomitrium patens
Lineage: Eukaryota; Viridiplantae; Streptophyta; Bryopsida; Funariales; Funariaceae
Description: long non-coding RNA (PPAT_LNC001326)
Source: RNAcentral